GAUGAACGCUGGCGGCGUGCCUAAUACAUGCAAGUCGAGCGAACAGACGAGGAGCUUGCUCCUCUGACGUUAGCGGCGGACGGGUGAGUAACACGUGGAUAACCUACCUAUAAGACUGGGAUAACUUCGGGAAACCGGAGCUAAUACCGGAUAAUAUAUUGAACCGCAUGGUUCAAUAGUGAAAGACGGUUUUGCUGUCACUUAUAGAUGGAUCCGCGCCGCAUUAGCUAGUUGGUAAGGUAACGGCUUACCAAGGCAACGAUGCGUAGCCGACCUGAGAGGGUGAUCGGCCACACUGGAACUGAGACACGGUCCAGACUCCUACGGGAGGCAGCAGUAGGGAAUCUUCCGCAAUGGGCGAAAGCUUGGCGGAGCAACGCCGCGUGAGUGAUGAAGGUCUUCGGAUCGUAAAACUCUAUUAUUAGGGAAGAACAAAUGUGUAAGUAACUAUGCACGUCUUGACGGUACCUAAUCAGAAAGCCACGGCUAACUACGUG
This 497-nucleotide ribosomal RNA is filed under the name uncultured bacterium. RNAcentral describes it as "partial 16S ribosomal RNA". It matches the Rfam family "Bacterial small subunit ribosomal RNA", at positions 28 to 507 of the family's 1533-position model. The record is from RNAcentral.